This is a long non-coding RNA of Sinocyclocheilus rhinocerous, 2009 nucleotides long. Ensembl annotates it as H/ACA ribonucleoprotein complex subunit 1-like. The record is from Ensembl. Lineage: Eukaryota; Metazoa; Chordata; Actinopteri; Cypriniformes; Cyprinidae.
AAGCACCUUGAAAAGACCUGCCUACCGGGAUUAGACAGCGCUAUUUUGGGGCUCUUGUUACAUUGGUCGUCAGAUUCAUAGCGCUGCUGGGCUGGGUCACGCUGCUAGGACUCACCACUCACUUGAUCGACACAAAUAAACACCAAGAAAGAGCCUUGAAACCGGGUUAAUUAAAAAAGUUUCAUAGUUCGUCUCGUCAUUAGCGUUUCUGCUUUGACAUACCUUUGGAAGUUAUCGAGUGUAAAUUCUUUGGUGUUUUCGAGACACACGACGCUUUUGAAACUUUUGCGUGCGUAAAGACGUUGGAAGACGAAAUGGGGGAGAAUGAUGUUCAAAUGGAGAGUACAGAGCAAAUGCAGGAGCCUCACGCUUCAUGCUCGGACAAAAUCGACUUGUCAUUAGAUGACAUUAUAAAGCUGAAUAAGAAGGAACAGAAGGCAAACAGAGCUGCCAACAGAGCUAAAACUAAACGUGCUGUUAACAGGAACAACGUCUUGAAGAAACUCAACCAGGUUCCACAGCAACAGAGGGGACUCAGACGAGGAGCGCAGCAGUACCAAGGGCCUGGCAGGGUGAGAGGUUUAAGGAGACAAAGAGGAUCCGGGAGGGGCAUGAUGUCGAGAAGGGAUUCACUAAAUAGAGCUGCUGCCGCUGCCACGACUGGUGAACAGUUUGAUCAGACCACAUUCACAUCGAGGGGCACAUUCAGAGGACGGGGAAGAGGUAGAGGAAGAGGAGGCGGACUGAGCAGGGGUGCAUUGUCAGCAAGAGGACAAAGGGGUGGAAGACCAUUUGUAUUAGACAGAGGGUUUUCCGCUACAAAAAGGGCUGAGAAACUACAAAAGUAUCAGACAAUAAGAAGUCGAAGAACAGCACCAUCUGGCUCCACGCUGACAGUUUCCCUGCCAAAUGCAAAAUCUGCACCUGUCGCUGUGAAGACAUCUAAUCAGACUAGGAGGGGUGGGGCAGUGUUAAGGGGCAGAUCAUCUAGAGGAGCCGGUACUUCGUCAUCUAUGGGGAUUCCUCUGCAAUUUAACUACAAAGCAACUACUAACCAGACUGCCGUAUACCUUAAUGACCGUUUCACUGACCUGAGGUUAAGAGGGCAAGGACGAGGCCGGGAAAGAGGUGAUGGAAGAGGAAGAGGAGCUGUUGGAGGAGGUGGAAGAGGUGGAGGAAGAGGAAACAUUGUUGGGGGUGGACGAGGUAGAGGACAAGGAAACAUAGGUGGGGGAAGAGGCAGAGGAAGAGGAAACUUUAUGGGUGGUGGAAGAGGCAGAGGAAGAGGAAACUUUAUGGGGGAUGGCAGAGGCAGAGGAAGAGGAAACUUUAUGGGUGGUGGAAGAGGCAGAGGAAGAGGAAACUUUAUGGGGGAUGGCAGAGGCAGAGGAAGAGGAAACUUUAUGGGUGGUGGAAGAGGCAGAGGAAGAGGAAACUUUAUGGGGGAUGGCAGAGGCAGAGGAAACAUUAUGGGGGGUGGCAGAGGCAGAGGAAGAGGAGGGGUUGGUGUGGCAAGAGGAGGAAGAGGCUUGAGAAGAGGAAGUGGAGGAUCAAGAGGAGCCGAUCGAACAGUAACUCUUCAGUGAUUACAAUUACAACCAAUUUUAUGAAGUAAUAGUGUUUUGGUAAAAAAAAAUUUUUGGUGCAUCACUAUUUAAUGUCAUGAUGUCAUUCAACUAAAUAUUUGUAACAUUUCUGACAGCGGAAUAAGGGGGUUUCAUUGCAGUGUACAAACAAAAAAAAUUUCCUUUCUAAAAGAAAAUUUAAAUUAUUGAUUGUUAUAUGAUGAAGGUUUUUACAUUUUUAGGUUAUGAAAAAAUAAAAUUUUAAAAAGUACCUCAGAGGGUAAUGAAGUGCCUCUUCAAAUUCAGUGUAAAUACUGUUUUGCAUUCUGACAUUAGAAGGUAAAGUCAGUGAUAAAAACUGAAUCCUAUACUUUAAAAAAAAUGUAAAUAUAUCAAAAGUUGUUUACAUUUGAUAUCAUCAUAUCAAUAAACACCAAACAAUGG